Small nucleolar RNA from Nannospalax galili (Upper Galilee mountains blind mole rat), 131 nucleotides. NCBI's taxonomy places the organism in Eukaryota, Metazoa, Chordata, Mammalia, Rodentia, Spalacidae. The record is from Ensembl.
UCCUCCUGCAAAGGUGUGUUUUUGGUUCUCUGGUCUUGGCUGUGUAAGAAUUGGGGUCAAAAAAAUAUGGAUCUGGUGAGGUCUGGGGAUAGCUUGCCCCACACAGGCUCAAGAUCAAUCAUUCCACAUAG